This 1260-nucleotide ribosomal RNA is filed under the name Triticum aestivum (bread wheat). RNAcentral's name for it is "partial small subunit ribosomal RNA". Lineage: Eukaryota; Viridiplantae; Streptophyta; Magnoliopsida; Poales; Poaceae. The record is from RNAcentral.
AUGCUUGCUUUUCGGGAUUCACUUGAAGUGUGCGAGCUGACUAAUUUGGGUUUUGUUGGAAGGCCAUAUACUUUUGAUAAUAUGAGGAGUGGUGCAGCAAAUGUUAAAGUACGAUUAGAUCGUGGAGUUGCAAAUCUGGAUUGGAGGUACAUGUUCCCUGCUGCCUCAAUCCAUCAUCUUGUUUCACCCCGGUCGGAUCAUUGUCCAUUGCUUGUCAAGUGCGAAGCUGAUUCGGGCCCAAAACCUAAGAAAGUUAAGCGCUAUGAGAUCAUGUGGGAGAGGGAUUCUGCCCUCACAGAAGUUAUUGCAAACAUGUGGAAAGAUGCGGGCCAAAAACGUACACUUGGGGAGAUUGGUCAAGCUUUGGGGAAGGUAAUGACCUCGUUGCAUCAAUGGAGCAGAGCCAAAAUUGGCAAUGUAACUAGGGAGAUUGAGAAGUCUCGUACGAGGCUAGAGGAGCUAAUGAAUAUGAAUGCGGACCAAGCCGAACUGAGAAAGGAGGAGGAUAAAAUGAAUGAAUUACUAUAUCGAGAAGAGAUGAUGUGGUUGCAAAGGUCUCGUAUUGCUUGGUUAAAAGAAGGCGACCGAAAUACAAAAAUUUUCCAUGCCAAAGCGAUCUGGCGGGCGAGGCAAAACAGUAUUAAAAAACUUGAAGAUACAAAUGGGGUUGUUCAUUCUGGAGAUGCAAUGGGCCAGGCUGCUACUUCUUACUUUCAAAACAUCUUCACUGCCGACCCCUUGCUUGAUCCAUCUCCUAUUGUACAACUCAUGCAAACACAUGUUAAUGAUGAAAUUAAUGAGUCUUUAUGUGCUGAGUUUACUGAACAGGAGAUAGCGGAUGCUGUUUUCCAAAUUGGAACGCUAAAGGCCCCGGGAUUGGAUGGAUUUCCUGCUCGAUUCUUCCAAAUAAACUGGUCCACGGUGCGUGCAGAUGUUAUAGCAGCAGUUAAGGAAUUCUUUAACUCGGGUAUCACGCCAGAUUCUGUUAAUGAUACAAUCAUUGUUCUGAUUCCGAAAAUUCCUAACCCGGUUAAAUUAACUGAUUUUCGCCCUAUUAGCCUUUGUAAUGUUAUCUAUAAAGUUGUUGCUAAGUGCCUGGUGAAUAGACUGAGACCUCUACUCAAUGAUAUUAUUUCUCCUACUCAGAGUGCAUUUAUUCCGGGUAGAAUGACCACGGAUAACGCCUUAAUUGCAUUUAAGUGCAUCCAUUAUAUCAAGCAAGAGAAGGACCCAGAAAAAAGUUUUUGUGCUUACAAGCUU